Molecule: ribosomal RNA, 465 nt
Filed under: Vreelandella stevensii
Lineage: Bacteria; Pseudomonadati; Pseudomonadota; Gammaproteobacteria; Oceanospirillales; Halomonadaceae
Description: partial 16S ribosomal RNA
Rfam family: Bacterial small subunit ribosomal RNA
Source: RNAcentral
CCUACGGGGGGCUGCAGUGGGGAAUAUUGGACAAUGGGCGAAAGCCUGAUCCAGCCAUGCCGCGUGUGUGAAGAAGGCCUUCGGGUUGUAAAGCACUUUCAGUGGGGAAGAAAGCCUUGGGGCUAAUACCCUCGAGGAAGGACAUCACCCACAGAAGAAGCACCGGCUAACUCCGUGCCAGCAGCCGCGGUAAUACGGAGGGUGCGAGCGUUAAUCGGAAUUACUGGGCGUAAAGCGCGCGUAGGCGGUCUGAUAAGCCGGUUGUGAAAGCCCCGGGCUCAACCCGGGAACGGCAUCCGGAACUGUCAGGCUAGAGUGCAGGAGAGGAAGGUAGAAUUCCCGGUGUAGCGGUGAAAUGCGUAGAGAUCGGGAGGAAUACCAGUGGCGAAGGCGGCCUUCUGGACUGACACUGACGCCGAGGUGCGAAAGCGUGGGUAGCAAACAGGAUUAGAUACCCUAGUAGUC